UAUUGCACAAUGGGGGAAACCCUGAUGCAUCAACGCCGCGCGAGUGAAGAAGUGUUUCGGUGUGUAAAGCUCUAUCAGCAGGGAAGAACAUGACGGUACCUGAGUAAGAAGCCCCGGCUAACUACGUGCCAGCAGCCGCGGUAAUACGCAGGGGGCAAGCGUUAUCCGGAUUUACUGGGUGUAAAGGGAGCGUAGACGGCGAUGCAAGUCUGAAGUGAAAGCCCGGGGCUCAACCCCGGGACUGCUUUGGAAACUGUAUGGCUAGAGUGCUGGAGAGGCAAGCGGAAUUCCUAGUGUAGCGGUGAAAUGCGUAGAUAUUAGGAAGAACACCAGUGGCGAAGGCGGCUUGCUGGACAGUAACUGACGUUGAGGCUCGAAAGCGUGGGGAGCAAACAGG
Molecule: ribosomal RNA, 397 nt
Filed under: uncultured bacterium
Lineage: Bacteria
Description: bacterial SSU rRNA
Rfam family: Bacterial small subunit ribosomal RNA
Source: RNAcentral